RNAcentral lists this ribosomal RNA (514 nucleotides) under uncultured bacterium. Its description in RNAcentral is "bacterial SSU rRNA". It matches the Rfam family "Bacterial small subunit ribosomal RNA", at positions 19 to 518 of the family's 1533-position model. The record is from RNAcentral.
AUGGCUCAGAUUGAACGCUGGCGGCGUGCUUAACACAUGCAAGUCGCGCGUGAAAGGACUUCGGUCCGAGUAAAGCGGCGCACGGGUGAGUAACGCGUGGAUGAUCUACCCAUGAGUUAGGAAUAACGGCUGGAAACGGUCGCUAAUACCAAAUACGCUCCGAUUUCAACUUCGGGGGAAAGGUGGCCUCUGCUUGCAAGCUACUGCUCAUGGAUGAGUCCGCGUCCCAUUAGCUAGUUGGUGGGGUAACGGCCCACCAAGGCGACGAUGGGUAGCCGGUCUGAGAGGAUGACCGGCCACACUGGGACUGGAACACGGCCCAGACUCCUACGGGAGGCAGCAGUGGGGAAUAUUGCGCAAUGGGCGAAAGCCUGACGCAGCGACGCCGCGUGAGGGAUGAAGGUCCUCGGAUCGUAAACCUCUGUCAGGAGGGAAGAACCGCCACGGUGCUAAUCAGCCGUGGUCUGACGGUACCUCCAAAGGAAGCACCGGCUAACUCCGUGCCAGCCGCUGC